AUGUGAGUCAAGGAUCUUCGGAAAGUGAUUAUGACGGUGCCCCGACCUUGCGCCUUCCGUAACCCUCAUUAGCCCUGCAUACAUCGAGCAUCGAAGAAAUCUUCUGUCACCAUUUUUGUGGUCAUCGAUCGUACAAAAGCGGUAGUAGACUGUCCUAAUUCCACCGUCACAAAUCAAAGAAAUGAUCGUAAUUGUUUAAACUAAUUAAACUCUUAUUAUCUAUUCCAUCAUUACAUACGAUACAACGCUUACAAAAUAUGAUUUCUGAAAAAUUUGUAACUCGCGAACUAAAAAUUGUGGUGUUAAUAUUUAGAAGUUCUGCUAAAUAUUUGCAAAAUUUGUAUGCUCGCAGUUAUAUUUAACUCAUAUUAUGCGCAAUAUAAUAGCAAAUAUGUCUAUCGUGUAUCGGUGAUGGUUGUGAAAAUUGUAAGAUGAAAAUUGUCUAAAGAAAAAUUACAAUAAUAAAUGAAAUACGAUAGUAAGAGAAAAUGUUUAAGGAUUAUCCAUUUCAGAAGUAACAUGAAUUUCCGGUUUGUGCACCGGGAUGAUCAACGCACGUGGUUACUAAAAAUAACUGUCCGAUAUUUGAGAUCAGAAAACAUUAAGAUGCUGAUCAGAUACUCCAAUAUAUUCGAGAGGAUUGUCAGUAAAUAUCUAGCAAUUUUGAACGACGAGUCAACGUAUGAUAAGACAUUCUAUGAAGACUGAUGAACAACCGAUACACUGGAAAUACAGCUAUUACUUAGACACAUAGUAGUAUUACAAAUAUGUUCCUAGAAUUUAUUUCUCUUAUUUCAAUGUGCCGAAUUAUGUCACUGAGAUUAUGUCCAUCAUUAUAUUUUAGGACAUUCCCAGAUACGCAUUACUAACACGUACUACAAUAUAUAGUACAUAAUAAAACCCUCCAGAUAUAUUUAUUUUAUUUUUAGAAAAAAAAUUCAUCUUUAUCGCUUUUCUACUGAGUUACACGAAUAAUAGAAUUAAAAUUA
This is a long non-coding RNA of Bombus huntii, 989 nucleotides long. RefSeq lists it as uncharacterized. NCBI's taxonomy places the organism in Eukaryota, Metazoa, Arthropoda, Insecta, Hymenoptera, Apidae. The transcript has 2 exons. The record is from RefSeq and is a predicted model, not a curated record.